This 429-nucleotide ribosomal RNA is filed under the name bacterium. RNAcentral describes it as "partial 16S ribosomal RNA". It matches the Rfam family "Bacterial small subunit ribosomal RNA", at positions 355 to 776 of the family's 1533-position model. The record is from RNAcentral.
UAGGGAAUCUUCGGCAAUGGGGGCAACCCUGACCGAGCAACGCCGCGUGAGUGAAGAAGGUUUUCGGAUCGUAAAGCUCUGUUGUAAGAGAAGAACGUGUGUGAGAGUGGAAAGUUCACACAGAGACGGUAACUUACCAGAAAGGGACGGCUAACUACGUGCCAGCAGCCGCGGUAAUACGUAGGUCCCGAGCGUUGUCCGGAUUUAUUGGGCGUAAAGCGAGCGCAGGCGGUUUAAUAAGUCUGAAGUUAAAGGCAGUGGCUUAACCAUUGUUCGCUUUGGAAACUGUUAAACUUGAGUGCAGAAGGGGAGAGUGGAAUUCCAUGUGUAGCGGUGAAAUGCGUAGAUAUAUGGAGGAACACCGGUGGCGAAAGCGGCUCUCUGGUCUGUAACUGACGCUGAGGCUCGAAAGCGUGGGGAGCAAACAGG